UACGUAGGGGGCGAGCGUUGUCCGGAAUCAUUGGGCGUAAAGAGCGUGUAGGCGGACUGGAAGGUCUGGUGUGAAAGCCCGGGGCUCAACCCCGGAGGGUCACUGGAAACCAACAGUCUUGAAUCUGGAAGAGGAGAGUGGAAUUCCUGGUGUAGCGGUGGAAUGCGCAGAUAUCAGGAGGAACACCAAUGGCGAAGGCAGCUCUUUGGUACAUGAUUGACGCUGAGGAGCGAAAGCGUGGGGAGCGAACAGG
This 253-nucleotide ribosomal RNA is filed under the name uncultured bacterium. Its description in RNAcentral is "partial 16S ribosomal RNA". It matches the Rfam family "Bacterial small subunit ribosomal RNA", at positions 524 to 776 of the family's 1533-position model. The record is from RNAcentral.